This 493-nucleotide ribosomal RNA is filed under the name uncultured bacterium. Its description in RNAcentral is "bacterial SSU rRNA". It matches the Rfam family "Bacterial small subunit ribosomal RNA", at positions 28 to 507 of the family's 1533-position model. The record is from RNAcentral.
GAUGAACGCUAGCUACAGGCUUAACACAUGCAAGUCGAGGGGAAACGACAUCGAAAGCUUGCUUUUGAUGGGCGUCGACCGGCGCACGGGUGAGUAACGCGUAUCCAACCUGCCCACCACUUGGGGAUAACCUUGCGAAAGUAAGACUAAUACCCAAUGAUAUCCCACGAAGGCAUCCGAAUGGGAUUAAAGAUUUAUCGGUGAUGGAUGGGGAUGCGUCUGAUUAGCUUGUUGGCGGGGUAACGGCCCACCAAGGCAACGAUCAGUAGGGGUUCUGAGAGGAAAGUCCCCCACAUUGGAACUGAGACACGGUCCAAACUCCUACGGGAGGCAGCAGUGAGGAAUAUUGGUCAAUGGGCGAGAGCCUGAACCAGCCAAGUAGCGUGUGGGACGAAUGCCCUAUGGGUUGUAAACCACUUUUUGCAGGAGGGUAAAAUGCUUCACGUGUGGAGUAUUGCAAGUAUCCUGCGAAUAAGGACCGGCUAAUUCCGUG